GACGAACGCUGGCGGCGUGCCUAAUACAUGCAAGUCGAACGCAGUGGGGACGGGUGAGUAACACGUGGGUAACCUCCCAUCAGAGGGGAUAACACUUGGAAACAGGUGCUAAACCGAUACUGAUGGAUGGACCCGCGGUGCAUGGGCUAGUUGGUGAGGUAACGGCUCACCAAGGCCACGAUGCAUUGCCGGCCGGAGAGGGGGAUCGGCCACACUGGGACUGAGACACGGCGCAGACUCCUACGGGAGGCAGCAGUGGGGAAUCUGCUGAAAUUGACGAAAGUCUGAACGAGCAACGCAGCGUGAGUGAAGGGGGUUUUCGGAUCGUAAAACUCUGUUGUUAGAGAAGCGGUAUCUAACCAGAAAGCCACGGCUAACUACGUGCCAGCAGCCGCGGUAAUAC
This 403-nucleotide ribosomal RNA is filed under the name uncultured bacterium. RNAcentral's name for it is "partial 16S ribosomal RNA". It matches the Rfam family "Bacterial small subunit ribosomal RNA", at positions 28 to 526 of the family's 1533-position model. The record is from RNAcentral.